GACGAACGCUGGCGGCGUGCUUAACACAUGCAAGUCGAACGGAAAGGCCCUGCUUUUGUGGGGUGCUCGAGUGGCGAACGGGUGAGUAACACGUGAGUAACCUGCCCUUGACUUUGGGAUAACUUCAGGAAACUGGGGCUAAUACCGGAUAGGAUCUCCUGCUGCAUGGUGGGGGGUGGAAAGUUUCGGCGGUUGGGGAUGGACUCGCGGCUUAUCAGCUUGUUGGUGGGGUAGUGGCUUACCAAGGCUUUGACGGGUAGCCGGCCUGAGAGGGUGACCGGCCACAUGGGGACUGAGAUACGGCCCAGACUCCUACGGGAGGCAGCAGGGGGGAAUAUUGCACAAUGGGCGGAAGCCUGAUGCAGAGACGCCGCGUGCGGGAUGACGGCCUUCGGGUUGUAAACCGCUUUCGCCUGUGACGAAGCGUGAGUGACGGUAAUGGGUAAAGAAGCACCGGCUAACUACGUG
RNAcentral lists this ribosomal RNA (468 nucleotides) under uncultured bacterium. RNAcentral describes it as "partial 16S ribosomal RNA". It matches the Rfam family "Bacterial small subunit ribosomal RNA", at positions 28 to 507 of the family's 1533-position model. The record is from RNAcentral.